Molecule: ribosomal RNA, 253 nt
Filed under: uncultured bacterium
Lineage: Bacteria
Description: partial 16S ribosomal RNA
Rfam family: Bacterial small subunit ribosomal RNA
Source: RNAcentral
UACAGGGGGUGCAAACGUUGCUCGGAAUUAUUGGGCGUAAAGCGCGCGUAGGCGGCUACCUAAGUCGGAUGUGAAAGCCCCUGGCUUAACUGGGGAAGUGCACCCGAAACUGGGUAGCUAGAGUGCAAAAGAAGGUCGCGGAAUUCCCGGUGUAGAGGUGAAAUUCGUAGAUAUCGGGAGGAACACCGGUGGCGAAGGCGGCGACCUGGGUUGACACUGACGCUGAGGCGCGAAAGCGUGGGGAGCAAACAGG